GUAGGCUACGGUGACAUCUACCCAAAAACAUUGCUGGGGAAGAUCGUGGGCGGCCUCUGCUGCAUUGCCGGGGUUCUGGUGAUUGCCCUCCCCAUCCCAAUCAUUGUGAACAAU
Molecule: non-coding RNA, 114 nt
Organism: Myotis lucifugus (little brown bat)
Lineage: Eukaryota; Metazoa; Chordata; Mammalia; Chiroptera; Vespertilionidae
Source: Rfam